Molecule: small nuclear RNA, 131 nt
Filed under: Sitophilus oryzae (rice weevil)
Lineage: Eukaryota; Metazoa; Arthropoda; Insecta; Coleoptera; Curculionidae
Description: U11 spliceosomal RNA
Rfam family: U11 spliceosomal RNA
Source: Rfam by way of RNAcentral
AAAAAGGGUGUUUGUCUCUUAGUGACACACGUACCGAUAUCGGUACGUGGGGUAUGGAAAUCAAGACAUACCCAACACGAAAUUUUUGUUCCUGCGGGGCUGUUUUUUGGCAUUGAACCAAAGACGCCCCC